Molecule: transfer RNA, 85 nt
Filed under: Felis catus (domestic cat)
Lineage: Eukaryota; Metazoa; Chordata; Mammalia; Carnivora; Felidae
Rfam family: tRNA
About the family: Transfer RNA (tRNA) molecules are approximately 80 nucleotides in length.
Source: Rfam by way of RNAcentral
GUCUGGGUGGCUCAGUCACUUGAGUGUCUGACUUCGGCUCAGGUCAUGAUCUCAUGGUUUGUGGGUUCGAACCCCACAUCGGGCU